RNAcentral lists this long non-coding RNA (814 nucleotides) under Daucus carota (carrot). RNAcentral describes it as "long non-coding RNA (DCAR_LNC003707)". The record is from RNAcentral. Lineage: Eukaryota; Viridiplantae; Streptophyta; Magnoliopsida; Apiales; Apiaceae.
AAAGUCGGCGUUUAUCCAAGUAAAACACACAAGACAACAAUAAAACAUGGAAUUUGAUACAAAAGCUCAAUAUGUCAUAAAAUUAACAGGAAACUAAGAUUCAUCAGUCAUUACAUCAAAAGAAAUUCAAAAGUUUUAAAACAUAAUAAAAAGAAAUGUCACAAUUAACCAGAAAUAUAUUAAGAGCAUAGCACAUUUAACUUAAACUACAAAAGGACCACAUUAUUUCCGACAUCACUUCCCUCUUCUUGUCGCUCGCACUUUAGCCUGAGUUAGAUGUUGCACCCUAAUCAUCAUCAUCAUGACUUUCAUCAUUAUCAGUUGAGAUACCUUCUUCAUCCGUUUCCUCAUUGUAGUCCGACUCAAGUUGCAGCUGCCUCCAAGGUGAAGCAGUCCACUUGACUGGUUUGGACCCUGCAAUUGGAAAAAGGCUCUUUGUAUGGUUGAAAAUCUGCCAGGAGGCAGUAGGGAGAAGAUUUGUCGGCGCUUGCUUGUAGGGGUUAUAAAGAAACCGGUUGUAGUUAUGAUCAACCAGUAAGAACUCAACGCUGUUGAAAAGUCCAAAAACAAAAACAAUACAACCACAAUGAAAAAAUCACAAAAACAAUGAAAAAAUCAAAAUCAACAAGCAUUGCAACCAAAAAAUCAACUAAAACAACAAACUAGAACUCAACUCAAAAACAACCAACUAAAACAAACAAGAAAACAACUCAAAACAAGUACCAGCUAAUACUUACGGUCCAUCUGUCUUUCUUGAUUUUGCCUCCUCCGCCUAAGCAACUACAAAAUCAAAAUAAAAAAUCAAUGCAACCAG